RNAcentral lists this ribosomal RNA (426 nucleotides) under uncultured bacterium. RNAcentral describes it as "partial 16S ribosomal RNA". It matches the Rfam family "Bacterial small subunit ribosomal RNA", at positions 354 to 796 of the family's 1533-position model. The record is from RNAcentral.
GUGGGGAAUAUUGCACAAUGGGGGAAACCCUGAUGCAGCGACGCCGCGUGAGCGAAGAAGUAUUUCGGUAUGUAAAGCUCUAUCAGCAGGGAAGAAGAAUGACGGUACCUGACUAAGAAGCACCGGCUAAAUACGUGCCAGCAGCCGCGGUAAUACGUAUGGUGCAAGCGUUAUCCGGAUUUACUGGGUGUAAAGGGAGCGCAGGCGGUACGGCAAGUCUGAUGUGAAAUCCCGGGGCUCAACCCCGGUACUGCAUUGGAAACUGUCGGACUAGAGUGUCGGAGGGGUAAGUGGAAUUCCUAGUGUAGCGGUGAAAUGCGUAGAUAUUAGGAGGAACACCAGUGACGAAGGCGGCUUACUGGACGAUUACUGACGCUGAGGCUCGAAAGCGUGGGGAGCAAACAGGAUUAGAAACCCCUGUAGUCC